CGGUUUGGAAAGUGGCGAACGGGUGAGUAACACGUGGGUAACCUGCCUCGAAGCGGGGGACAACCAUUGGAAACGAUGGCUAAUACCGCAUAGUCCCAUUUUUGUGAGAACAAUGAUGGGUAAAACUCCGGUGCUUCGAGAGGGGCCUGCGUCCGAUUAGCUAGUUGGUGGGGUAAAAGCCCACCAAGGCGACGAUCGGUAGCUGGUCUGAGAGGACGAUCAGUCACAUGGGAACUGAGACACGGUCCCG
RNAcentral lists this ribosomal RNA (250 nucleotides) under uncultured bacterium. RNAcentral's name for it is "partial 16S ribosomal RNA". It matches the Rfam family "Bacterial small subunit ribosomal RNA", at positions 84 to 334 of the family's 1533-position model. The record is from RNAcentral.